GGGGGGGGGGGGGGGGGGGGGUGGGGGGGGGGGGGGGGGGGGGGGGGCGGGGGGCUGGCGGCGCGGGUGUUGGCGGCGGGCGGGGGGGGCACGGGGGGGUCGCCUACCGAUAGUACUGGGAUAGCUUCGGGCACCGGGGGCUAAUACCGGAUACUAUUUUGAACCUCAUGGUUCAAACGUGAACGUCUGUCUUGCUUUCCCGUAUUGAGGGAUCCGCGCUGCAUGAGCGAGUGGGUAAGGUAACGGAUUACGGAGGCAACGAUGCAUAGCCGACGUGAGAGGGUGAUCGGCCACAAUGGAACUGAGACACGGUCCAGACUCCUACGGGAGGCAGCAGUAGGGAAUCUUCCGCAAUGGGCGAAAGCCUGACGGAGCAACGCCGCGUGAGUGAUGAAGUUCUUCGGAUCGUAAAACUCUGUUAUUAGGGAAGAACAUAUGUGUAAGUAACUGUGCACAUCUUGACGGUACCUAAUCAGAAAGCCACGGCUAACUACGUG
RNAcentral lists this ribosomal RNA (497 nucleotides) under uncultured bacterium. RNAcentral's name for it is "partial 16S ribosomal RNA". It matches the Rfam family "Bacterial small subunit ribosomal RNA", at positions 27 to 507 of the family's 1533-position model. The record is from RNAcentral.